RNAcentral lists this ribosomal RNA (500 nucleotides) under uncultured bacterium. RNAcentral's name for it is "partial 16S ribosomal RNA". It matches the Rfam family "Bacterial small subunit ribosomal RNA", at positions 30 to 523 of the family's 1533-position model. The record is from RNAcentral.
AUUGAACGCUGGCGGAAUGCUUUACACAUGCAAGUCGAACGGCAGCACGGACUUCGGUCUGGUGGCGAGUGGCGAACGGGUGAGUAAUACAUCGGAACGUGCCCAAUCGCGGGGGAUAACGUAGCGAAAGCUACGCUAAUACCGCAUACGAUCUAAGGAUGAAAGCGGGGGAUCGCAAGACCUCGCGCGAUUGGAGCGGCCGAUGGCAGAUUAGGUAGUUGGUAGGGUAAAGGCCUACCAAGCCGACGAUCUGUAGCUGGUCUGAGAGGAUGAUCAGCCACACUGGGACUGAGACACGGCCCAGACUCCUACGGGAGGCAGCAGUGGGGAAUUUUGGACAAUGGACGCAAGUCUGAUCCAGCCAUUCCGCGUGCAGGAUGAAGGCCCUCGGGUUGUAAACUGCUUUUGUACAGAACGAAAAGGCUCUGGUUAAUAUCUAGGGCUCAUGACGGUACUGUAAGAAUAAGCACCGGCUAACUACGUGCCAGCCGCCGCAGUAA